This 109-nucleotide small RNA is filed under the name Lysobacter concretionis Ko07 = DSM 16239. RNAcentral's name for it is "Xanthomonadaceae sRNA sX13". It matches the Rfam family "Xanthomonadaceae sRNA sX13". The record is from Rfam by way of RNAcentral. Lineage: Bacteria; Pseudomonadati; Pseudomonadota; Gammaproteobacteria; Lysobacterales; Lysobacteraceae.
AACGCCUGUCGCAGAUCUCUCCCUCCCCUGGAGUGAUCCGGAGCGAAAGCCCCUCCCCAGGCUUAGCUCCACCAGCCCCGCCGGCCCCCCCUGCCAGCGGGGCUUUUUA